RNAcentral lists this ribosomal RNA (616 nucleotides) under Ochthebius metallescens. Its description in RNAcentral is "partial 16S ribosomal RNA". It matches the Rfam family "Bacterial large subunit ribosomal RNA", at positions 1819 to 2727 of the family's 2925-position model. Lineage: Eukaryota; Metazoa; Arthropoda; Insecta; Coleoptera; Hydraenidae. The record is from RNAcentral.
GUCUUUUUGAUUAUAAUUUAAAGUCUGACCUGCCCUAUGAAUUUUUAAAUGGCCGCGGUAUUUUGACCGUGCAAAGGUAGCAUAAUCAUUAGUUUUUUAAUUGAAAGCUAGAAUGAAAGGUUGGACGAGAAAAUGACUGUCUCAGUUUAGAUUAAUUAGAAUUUUAUUUUUAAGUUAAAAAGCUUAAAUUUUUUUAAAAGACGAGAAGACCCUAUAGAGUUUGAUAUUUUUAUAAAUUUUAAUUUUUAUAAUUUAAUUUAUUUGUAAAAAUAUUUUAUUGGGGUGAUAAAUAAAUUUAAUUAACUUUAUUUUUUUUUAAACAUAAAUUUAUGAAUUAAUGAUCCAUUAUUAAUGAUUAUAAGAUUAAAUUACCUUAGGGAUAACAGCGUAAUUUUUUUAGAGAGUUCAAAUCGAAAAAUAAGAUUGCGACCUCGAUGUUGGAUUAAAGUUAAUUUUUGGUGUAGAAGCUAAAAUAUUAAGUCUGUUCGACUUUUAAUACUUUACAUGAUCUGAGUUUAAACCGGCGUGAGCCAGGUUGGUUUCUAUCUUUAAAAUAAUAAAAUAUUUUAGUACGAAAGGACCAAAUAUUUAUAAUAAUUAUUAUUAAUGUGAAUAU